GAACUGCUGUGGUAUACGAAUUCAUACCUAUGUGUUGACCGACUAUUUUUGUAUUACUAGGGAAACAAGUGUUUUCUAACAGUAUGCAGGCCGUCUCACACGGAAGCGACUGAAGUUAGAAACGAGUUACCCACCUGCUACUUACUGUGCGGGAUCAAUACAAUUCAUGAAUCACCGGUACCAAUACAGCGUUUUU
Non-coding RNA from Streptococcus cuniculi, 196 nucleotides. The record is from Rfam. Lineage: Bacteria; Bacillati; Bacillota; Bacilli; Lactobacillales; Streptococcaceae.